UGAGAGGAAAAGAUAGUGAAUUGUUGGUUCAAUUAUUAACGAAAAAAUGUCUAAGUAGAAAUUAAGAUUCAUUUGAAUUUGAUUAAGAAAAUAAAGGAAAAUACAAUGGAGUUUUGACUCCAAGGUUUAUUAGGAAAGAUUUGAGUGAUGGAAUUAAUUUGCUUUGAAAAAUGAACAUUUUCUAAGCAUCGCGUCUCCUAAACAUACAUCUAAAACGGUAAACAUACAACGUGUGUGCGUGUCGGUGCUUGUGUCGGUGUACAUCACUAUAAAGAGUCCAUUGUCCUUUACAUUUCCCUAGUUUACAUGCUAUGGUCUUGUAAGGAAUUAAAAGGAAAUUAAACUACCUAAAAUUACAUGUCCAUUUGACAUAGAAAUUGAAAGAUAAAAUGCCUAAACUACAAAAAAUGAAGAUAAAGUGAUAAGGUGCUUAUGAAAUGGAUGAAACAUGAAAUAGAAUGAUUAGUAGAAUAAGGCAUAAAUGGUAAGAAAAAGUAAGCAAUUGAAUAUGAGAUAAAACGGUGAAAAUGACGACAAU
Molecule: long non-coding RNA, 538 nt
Filed under: Medicago truncatula (barrel medic)
Lineage: Eukaryota; Viridiplantae; Streptophyta; Magnoliopsida; Fabales; Fabaceae
Description: long non-coding RNA (MTRU_LNC007216)
Source: RNAcentral